GAAAUGCGAUACCUGGUGUGAAUUGCAGAAUCCCGCGAACCAUCGAGUCUUUGAACGCAAGUUGCGCCCGAGGCCUUCUGGCCGAGGGCACGCCUGCCUGGGCGUCACGCCAAACACGCUCCCACCCCACUAAACAUGGGGCGGGACGCGGCAUGUGGCUCUCCGUCUCGCUAGGGGCGGUGGGCCGAAGAUCCGGCUGCCGGUGUAUCGUGCCGGACACAGCGCGUGGUAGGCGAUCUCGCUAUACUAAACGCAGUGCAUCCGGGACGUAGCCGACUCAAUGCCCUCAAUGGACCCUAUUAACGGAGCGCACGACGCUUCGACCGCGACCCCAGGUCAGGCGGGACUACCCGCUGAAUUUAA
This 363-nucleotide unclassified non-coding RNA is filed under the name uncultured fungus. RNAcentral's name for it is "sequence contains ITS1". The stretch from base 1 to 107 matches the Rfam family "5.8S ribosomal RNA", at positions 50 to 154 of the family's 154-position model. Lineage: Eukaryota; Fungi. The record is from RNAcentral.